Non-coding RNA from Tetranychus urticae (two-spotted spider mite), 663 nucleotides. NCBI's taxonomy places the organism in Eukaryota, Metazoa, Arthropoda, Arachnida, Trombidiformes, Tetranychidae. The record is from RefSeq and is a predicted model, not a curated record.
UCACAACGCAAUUCAUUUUCAACUUCAAUACAACUUCAUCCAUUGAGCACCAAGGUUAGCCAGUUAUCAUAUCAUGAUAUAACAAUAUCCGGCUGUAAUCUAGACUAAAUUUAAGCUAUUCCAAGAGAGUCUCAUUAUAUAAGCUCUUACUGUUACAUCGCUAGAUGACUGAAACUGUUAUAGUUGAGCAUCCAAAAGCUGUUUAUUAAGUUACUAGUUUUGAGCAGACAGUUGAACCAUCUUCUUCUAGUUUUACACAACCUUUCAACCUACUGUAAUUCACUUAUUAACAAACAAGUGUCUGUCUAAUUGUCAAGUUAAUCAUGCCAAGUAAAAUUCAUUCAGUUAACGGUCAUCAAUUCAAAGCUACUUCGUUUACUUCACCAACUUUGUGCUCUCAUUGUCAUGGGCUCCUUUAUGGUAUUGUUAAACAAGGAUAUCAAUGCAAAGUCUGUUACUGUGUUGUACACAAAAAAUGCCACACCGUAAAAUAUCAAUGUAAAGUAGGAGAAACUAAUCAGGAAUUUCUUGAUGACGAUUAAACAAGAUUUUGGUGAUUCCCAUAAUCCCAUCGUUCAAAUAUAAAUUAUACAAAUGUAUCUUUCAACUCAAAGUAUUGGUAUCGUUAUCAUUAGAAAUAAAUUUUAAAACUUUAUUUAAUUA